Mauremys mutica (yellowpond turtle) is the source of this 1704-nucleotide long non-coding RNA. RefSeq lists it as uncharacterized. The record is from RefSeq and is a predicted model, not a curated record. Lineage: Eukaryota; Metazoa; Chordata; Testudines; Geoemydidae. The transcript has 3 exons.
AGGGAAACCCCUUGGAAAAGGGUUAAUAGAAUUGUCUUGUGCCAGGAUGCCUAGAUGGGGGACCUCUGAGGGGCAGCCUCUUCUCCCUUGAAGAGGAAACCUGUGGCCAGAACAUCACUUCAAAUGCAAAGAUCUGUUUUUAUGAUGCACCAAGACGCAUGCAUCUCCAGGCUUGUGGAGAGACUUAUUCAGGCAAUGAAUGGGGGUGAUAGCAUUGCUUCAAAAGGUAACAGCUCAGACAGCAUCGGUAAACUGGGUCCCAGAUGCCACUAUUUUUGGAACAUCUACUAGAGUAAUCUCACCAACAAAAUUUAAAAUAUUAUUGCUGCUUCUCUCAGGAGUUUAGUUAACAGCUUGCUGCAAAAUGAAAAUCAAUUGACAAUCACAAUGCUAUGAUACAGAACCUAUUAUGUACCUACAUUAAUCUGGAUAUCUGGAGUGUCCAGACUGAAUAUAGUCCCAGACCAUAAAGGACAAAAUUCCUUUUGCCAUUGUGCAAUUGACUUUUGCUGGUAUCUCCUUGUCGUACCAUUGCAACAGAUCAUCUAUUCAACUCUCCACAGCAAUCCAGAUGAUGGGACUUCAUUUCCACAGCAGAUCUAAUUAAGGAUUAUAAAUGCAAUUUGAAAAGAAGUGGUGCUGUCUCUUUUCAUAUGAAAGUCAGUUUUUGCAUAUCUGGAUUGUCUCCUAGAGGCUAAUGGCUAUGCCUGAUAACAUUCACAGAGGUGCCCAGUCUCUUACAUUCCCAGCUCCUGUGCUGAUGAAGAAACACUUUGUAUUGCUAUAGGCCCAUGCAUUCCAAGGAAUUAAAAACCGUGGUACCCAAAAUGAAAAGACUGGCAACCACAAUACUUUGCUUAGGUAGACCUCCAUGAGGGGAAGGGUCAGUACAGAAAAGUCAAUGCAGAGAGAUCUGAAGAGAUAACAGAACAAGGGAAGGGAAUACUACUUAGAUCUUACAGCUGAACUGUCGUCUACAAUAGCCACAGACACAAUGAACUCUCCUUUCCUCAGGUCAGAAAAGGGAAAAACAGAUGGCCAGGAUUAUGGUACCUCCCUAAUUGAAUAUAUUGGAUGGGUGGGGGAGGAAUCAAAUGGUCAGAUUGGAGCUGUUGAGGGUAACUAAUAGUGAAGGUGAUCUCCAUUAAAAGACUGUCAAGGGACGUGUGUGUGGUGAGGGGGGAGGGAUGGUGGAAUUCUCCAUCUCCUGAUACCUUCCAGAAAGGCAGGCAGUCUUGAUGUGAAGACAUGCUUUAGCCAAAUAACUGGGUGAAAUGUAAUGGCCUUUGAUAUAGCAAGGUCAGACUAGAUCUAAUAGACACCAGAAGAGACAAACAGAUUUUUAUCUGACAGAUGGGUUCUUGUUGUAACAAAGGACAAAAAAGCUAGUUCACCAUUAAAGUAAUGAGAAUGAAAAUAAGGCUGUCUACACCACACAGCUUUUAGCAACAUGGCUAUGUUGCAACAGUCAUGCUGCUAAGUCAGGCAGUUAGCUGCUGUUCAUUGGCUGUUGUGCUAACAAACUUCCACCCCCAACAAGCAGUAUUUGCAUUGUCAGCAGGAGAGCGCUCCUACCAACAAGGUGCUGUUCACACUGGCACUUGUUUCGGCAAAACUCUUGUCUUGUCCUUAACACCUCUGAAAGACACAAAUUUUGUUUAAAGUGCCAGUGUAGACAUAGCCUGCUCUUAACCACCUCUUGGG